GCCUACGGCCAUACCACCCCUGAGAACGCCCGAUCUCGUCUGAUCUCGGAAGCUAAGCAGGGUCGGGCCCGGUUAGUACUUGGAUGGGAGACCGCCUGGGAAUACCGGGUGCUGUAGGCA
Molecule: ribosomal RNA, 120 nt
Organism: Camarhynchus parvulus
Lineage: Eukaryota; Metazoa; Chordata; Aves; Passeriformes; Thraupidae
Source: Ensembl